Molecule: ribosomal RNA, 371 nt
Filed under: uncultured organism
Description: bacterial SSU rRNA
Rfam family: Bacterial small subunit ribosomal RNA
Source: RNAcentral
CAGAGGUGGCAAGCGUUGUUCGGAAUUACUGGGCGUAAAGGGCGAGUAGGUGGCCAUCUAAGUCAGACGUGAAAUCCCCCGGCUUAACCUGGGAACUGCGUCUGAUACUGGACGGCUAGAGUUUGGGAGAGGGAUGCAGAAUUCCAGGUGUAGCGGUGAAAUGCGUAGAUAUCUGGAGGAAUACCGGUGGCGAAGGCGGCAUCCUGGACCAACACUGACACUGAAUCGCGAAAGCUAGGGGAGCAAACGGGAUUAGAUACCCCGGUAGUCCUAGCCCUAAACGAUGAAUGCUUGGUGUGGCGGGUAUCGAUCCCUGCCGUGCCGAAGCUAACGCAUUAAGCAUUCCGCCUGGGGAUACGGUCGCAAGGCUG